UGUAUCAGAACCCUCCUCUGCUGAGCACAGAACCAGCGUGACUGCGAGAUAAAAAAAACAGCAAUCUGAUUGAGAGGGGAAGCAACAGAGUGCUGGAAAAUGUAUGUGAAGAGAGGAGAUGGUGUUGAAGAGGAGUAUAUUUGCACCAAUGCCACAGGUGGAUGGAGGAUUACAUAAAUGGUCCUGCCACUGAGUGCUGGUGACAUCCACAGCAUUUUAAGAAAUGCUGGAAAUAGCUGAAGAAAAUCGAGCACCCAGGAAGAAGAGGCUGUUUAUCACUGCUUGGGUCUCAGCCCUUUGGAUAACGG
Molecule: long non-coding RNA, 308 nt
Organism: Harpia harpyja (harpy eagle)
Lineage: Eukaryota; Metazoa; Chordata; Aves; Accipitriformes; Accipitridae
Exons: 3
Source: RefSeq, a predicted model, not a curated record